AAGGGAGACCUAAUUCAGGUAUGGGACGAAAGAAAAGUAGUCGCUACCAAGAAUCAAUCCCAAAAGGUCGGAGCGAGGUAUGAGGCUUUCAAACUAGGUUCUGGGUUCAAACAAGACCUGAAUCAGGAACAAGGGCUAUUAGCUCAGGUGGUUAGAGCGCACCCCUGAUAAGGGUGAGGUCCCUGGUUCGAGUCCAGGAUGGCCCACCUGCACAGGUGGCAAAAACAAGAGAAGCGAGGAAUCAGCACCUUAUCUUAUCUAUAUAUAAGAGAGAAUGCUGGCUCUGAGUAAAGAGUCCAGAGGAACCUUGAAAACUGCAUAGAGCUAGGUGAAAAAGCCAAAAAAGAAGACCGCAA
This 356-nucleotide transfer RNA is filed under the name uncultured Microcystis sp. Its description in RNAcentral is "partial 16S-23S ribosomal RNA intergenic spacer". The stretch from base 133 to 206 matches the Rfam family "tRNA". The record is from RNAcentral. Lineage: Bacteria; Bacillati; Cyanobacteriota; Cyanophyceae; Chroococcales; Microcystaceae.